GAUGCGGUGUAGCCCGAUGGGUAAGGGUGGUAGGAGCGCACAACGCUCCCGAACGGAUGCUGGUUCGAAUCCAGCCCCGCAUCA
This 84-nucleotide transfer RNA is filed under the name Zoogloeaceae bacterium. RNAcentral's name for it is "tRNA-OTHER". The record is from RNAcentral. Lineage: Bacteria; Pseudomonadati; Pseudomonadota; Betaproteobacteria; Rhodocyclales; Zoogloeaceae.